ACUACGGGAGGCUGCAGUGAGGAAUAUUGGUCAAUGGGCGCGAGCCUGAACCAGCAACGCCGCGUGAAGGAAGAAGGCUUUCGGGUUGUAAACUUCUUUUCUCAGGGACGAAGAAAGUGACGGUACCUGAGGAAUAAGCCACGGCUAACUACGUGCCAGCAGCCGCGGUAAUACGUAGGUGGCAAGCGUUAUCCGGAUUUAUUGGGUGUAAAGGGCGUGUAGGCGGGAGCGCAAGUCAGAUGUGAAAACUCAGGGCUCAACCCUGAGCCUGCAUUUGAAACUGUGUUUCUUGAGUGCUGGAGAGGCAAUCGGAAUUCCGGGUGGAGCGGUGAAAUGCGUAGAUAUACGGAGGAACACCAGUGGCGAAGGCGGAUUGCUGGACAGUAACUGACGCUGAGGCGCGAAAGCGUGGGGAGCAAACAGGAUUAGAUACCCUUGUAGUC
Molecule: ribosomal RNA, 443 nt
Filed under: uncultured bacterium
Lineage: Bacteria
Description: partial 16S ribosomal RNA
Rfam family: Bacterial small subunit ribosomal RNA
Source: RNAcentral